This 685-nucleotide ribosomal RNA is filed under the name Entamoeba histolytica. RNAcentral's name for it is "SSU rRNA". It matches the Rfam family "Eukaryotic small subunit ribosomal RNA", at positions 1057 to 1618 of the family's 1831-position model. Lineage: Eukaryota; Evosea; Mastigamoebida; Endamoebidae. The record is from RNAcentral.
AAAUCCAAGUAUCUCAAUACUACCUUGUUCAGAAUUUAAAGAGAAAUCUUGAGUUUAUGGACUUCAGGGGGAGUAUGGUCAAAAGGCUGAAACUUAAAGGAAUUGACGGAAGGGCACACCAGGAGUGGAGCCUGCGGCUUAAUUUGACUCAACACGGGAAAACUUACCAAGACCGAACAGUAGAAGGAAUGACAGAUUAAGAGUUCUUUCAUGAUUUAUUGGGUAGUGGUGCAUGGCCGUUCUUAGUUGGUGGAGUGAUUUGUCAGGUUAAUUCCGGUAACGAACGAGACUGAAACCUAUUAAUUAGUUUUCUGCCUAUAAGACAGAAAUGUUCGCAAGAACAGGUGCGUAAGUACCACUUCUUAAAGGGACACAUUUCAAUUGUCCUAUUUUAAUUGUUAGUUAUCUAAUUUCGAUUAGAACUCUUUUAACGUGGGAAAAAGAAAAAGGAAGCAUUCAGCAAUAACAGGUCUGUGAUGCCCUUAGACAUCUUGGGCCGCACGCGCGCUACAAUGGAGUUACUAGAGAGCAUUUUAUCAUUUACACCUUAUUUAUUAGGCUAUGUCUAAUAGGUAGGGAUAGUAAGUGGUGUACCGAGAUUGAAAUAGUUAAGGAAAACUCAAAAGAACGUACAUGACAGGGAUAAAUGAUUUGAAUUAAUUGUUUUGAACGAGGAAUUCCUUGU